GUGGGGAAUAUUGGACAAUGGGCGCAAGCCUGAUCCAGCAAUGCCGCGUGGGUGAAGAAGGCCUUCGGGUUGUAAAGCCCUUUUGUACGGAAAGAAAUCCUGGUGGUUAAUACCCGCCGGGGAUGACGGUACCGUAAGAAUAAGCACCGGCUAACUUCGUGCCAGCAGCCGCGGUAAUACGAAGGGUGCAAGCGUUAAUCGGAAUUACUGGGCGUAAAGCGUGCGUAGGUGGUUUCUUAAGUCUGUCGUGAAAGCCCUGGGCUCAACCUGGGAAUGGCGAUGGAUACUGGGAGGCUAGAGUGCGGUAGAGGAUGGCGGAAUUCCCGGUGUAGCGGUGAAAUGCGUAGAGAUCGGGAGGAACAUCUGUGGCGAAGGCGGCCAUCUGGACCAGCACUGACACUGAGGCACGAAAGCGUGGGGAGCAAACAGGAUUAGAAACCCCGGUAGUCC
RNAcentral lists this ribosomal RNA (450 nucleotides) under uncultured bacterium. RNAcentral describes it as "partial 16S ribosomal RNA". It matches the Rfam family "Bacterial small subunit ribosomal RNA", at positions 354 to 796 of the family's 1533-position model. The record is from RNAcentral.